CACGUAGUUAGCCGUGGCUUUCUCGUUAGGUACCGUCAAGGUAACGCCAGUUACUGCGUUACUUGUUCUUCCCUAACAACAGAGCUUUACGACCCGAAGGCCUUCUUCGCUCACGCGGCGUUGCUCCGUCAGACUUUCGUCCAUUGCGGAAGAUUCCCUA
This 160-nucleotide ribosomal RNA is filed under the name uncultured bacterium. RNAcentral describes it as "partial 16S ribosomal RNA". The record is from RNAcentral.